UUGACCUCGGAUCAGGUAGGGAUACCCGCUGAACUUAAGCAUAUCAAUAAGCGGAGGAAAAGAAACCAACAGGGAUUGCCCCAGUAACGGCGAGUGAAGCGGCAAGAGCUCAAAUUUGAAAGCUGGCUCCUUCGGGGUCCGCAUUGUAAUUUGCAGAGGAUGCUUCGGGAGCGGUCCCCAUCUA
RNAcentral lists this ribosomal RNA (184 nucleotides) under Penicillium digitatum. RNAcentral's name for it is "partial 28S ribosomal RNA". It matches the Rfam family "Eukaryotic large subunit ribosomal RNA", at positions 1 to 183 of the family's 3401-position model. Lineage: Eukaryota; Fungi; Ascomycota; Eurotiomycetes; Eurotiales; Aspergillaceae. RNAcentral also lists the same sequence under 7 other names. The record is from RNAcentral.